ACAAGCGGAGGAGCGAUGUGGUUUAAUUCGAUGAUACGCGAGGAACCGUUACCUGGGCUCGAACGUAAGAUGACUGUAGGUGAAAGCUUACAUCUCUUCGGAGCAUUUUACGAGGUGCUGCAUGGUUGUCGUCAGCUCGUGCCGUGAGGUGUCGGGUUAAGUCCCAUAACGAGCGCAACCCCUACCUUAGUUGCCAUCAGGUUAAGCUGGGGACUCUAAAGGAACUGCCUACGCAAGUAGUGAGGAAGGCGGGGAUGACGUCAAAUCAGCACGGCCCUUACGUCCAGGGCUACACACGUGCUACAAUGGCCGAUACAGAGGGCAGCUACCUGGUGACAGGAUGCAAAUCUCCAAAGUCGGUCUCAGUUCGGAUCGGAGUCUGCAACCCGACUCCGUGAAGUUGGAUUCGCUAGUAAUCGCGCAUCAGCCAUGGCGCGGUGAAUACGUUCCCGGGCCUU
This 458-nucleotide ribosomal RNA is filed under the name uncultured Sphingobacteriales bacterium. RNAcentral describes it as "bacterial SSU rRNA". It matches the Rfam family "Bacterial small subunit ribosomal RNA", at positions 925 to 1382 of the family's 1533-position model. The record is from RNAcentral. Lineage: Bacteria; Pseudomonadati; Bacteroidota; Sphingobacteriia; Sphingobacteriales.